Molecule: ribosomal RNA, 331 nt
Filed under: uncultured bacterium
Lineage: Bacteria
Description: bacterial SSU rRNA
Rfam family: Bacterial small subunit ribosomal RNA
Source: RNAcentral
AGAGUUCGAUUAUGGCUCAGGACGAACGCUGGCGGCGCGCCUAACACAUGCAAGUCGAACGAGAGAGAGGAAGCUUGCUUCCUCAAUCGAGUGGCGAACGGGUGAGUAACGCGUGAGGAACCUGCCUCAAAGAGGGGGACAACAGUUGGAAACGACUGCUAAUACCGCAUAAGCCCACGACCCGGCAUCGGGUUGAGGGAAAAGGAGCAAUCCGCUUUGAGAUGGCCUCGCGUCCGAUUAGCUAGUUGGUGAGGUAAUGGCCCACCAAGGCGACGAUCGGUAGCCGGACUGAGAGGUUGAACGGCCACAUUGGGACUGAGACACGGCCCAG